ACGGGAGGCAGCAGUGGGGAAUUUUGGACAAUGGGGGCAACCCUGAUCCAGCGACGCCGCGUGGAGGACGAAGGUCUUCGGAUUGUAAACUCCUUUUGGAUGGGAAGAAAAAAAUGACGGUACCAUCAGAAAAAGCCACGGCUAACUUCGUGCCAGCAGCCGCGGUAAUACGAAGGUGGCGAGCGUUACUCGGAAUUACUAGGCGUAAAGCGUAUGUAGGUGGUUAUAUAAGUCUAUGGUGAAAUUUCCUGGCUCAACUGGGAAGGGUACAUAGAUACUGUAUGGCUUGAGUUUUAGAGGGGGAGACGGAAUUCCUGGUGUAGCGGUGAAAUGCGUAGAUAUCAGGAAGAACACCGAUGGCGAAAGCAGUCUCCUGGCUAAAUACUGACACUGAGGUACGAAAGCUAGGGUAGCAAACAGGAUUAGAUACCCUGGUA
RNAcentral lists this ribosomal RNA (437 nucleotides) under uncultured Candidatus Endomicrobium sp. Its description in RNAcentral is "partial 16S ribosomal RNA". It matches the Rfam family "Bacterial small subunit ribosomal RNA", at positions 341 to 792 of the family's 1533-position model. Lineage: Bacteria; Pseudomonadati; Elusimicrobiota; Endomicrobiia; Endomicrobiales; Endomicrobiaceae. The record is from RNAcentral.